This is a long non-coding RNA of Dicentrarchus labrax (European seabass), 2313 nucleotides long. RefSeq lists it as uncharacterized. The transcript is spliced from 2 exons. NCBI's taxonomy places the organism in Eukaryota, Metazoa, Chordata, Actinopteri, Moronidae. The record is from RefSeq and is a predicted model, not a curated record.
ACCCGCCAGUUAAAACAAAUCCCUAAAACAAAAAACAUAUCCCCAUACACUUAAGUAGCAAUGACUUCAUGAGCUUCUUGUAUAAUAAAAUUAUUACUAUUAGAGAGAAAAUUAAUCACCAACUGCCAUCAACAGUUAUCAGUGGCUCUCCAAGUUCAGGGAGUUCUGCCAAUGUAAACUUAGAUAUAUAUUUAAACUGUUUUUCUGCUAUCGAUCUUCAUCAGUUAACUUCAAUCAUUUCUUCAUCAAAGCCAUCAACUAUUAGACCCGAUCCCAACUAGGCUGCUUAAAGAAGUUGUUCCCUUAAUUGGCACUUCUUUACUGGAUAUGAUUAAUCUUUCUUUAUUAUCAGGAUAUGUACCACAGUCCUUUAAAGUAGCUGUAAUUAAACCCCUUCUUAAAAAGCCCACUCUUGACCCAGGGGUUUUAGCCAACUAUAGACCGAUUUCUAACCUCCCCUUCCUCUCUAAGAUUCUGGAGAAAGUAGUCGCCAAAGAGUUGUGUGACUUUUUACAUAACAAUAGUUUAUUUGAGGAUUUUCAAUCAGGAUUUAGAGUUCAUCACAGCACAGAGACAGCUCUGGUUAAAGUUAAUAAUGACCUUCUGAUUGCUUCAGACAAUGGACUUGUCUCUGUACUUGUAUUAUUAGAUCUUAGUGCUGCAUUUGACACCAUUGACCAUAAUAUUCUUUUACAGAAACUUGAGCAUCAAAUUGGCAUUAAAGGAACCGCACUAACCUGGUUUAAGUCAUAUUUAUCAGAUCGCUCGCAGUUUGUACAUGUUAACAAUGAAUCUUCAAUAAAUACUACAGUUAGUCAUGAGUUCCACAAGGUUCUGUACUUGGACCAAUACUAUUUACUUUAUAUAUGCUCCCUUUAGGCAACAUUAUUAGGAAUCACUCCAUUAACUUUCACUGUUAUGCAGAUGAUACACAGUUAUAUCUAUCAAUCAAGCCCGAUGAAAUUAAUCAAUUAUCUAAAUUACAAACAUGUCUUAAGGACAUAAAAUCCUGGAUGACCUGCAAUUUUCUGAUGUUAAACUCAGAAAAAAACUAAAUUCUUGUUCUUGGCCCCAAAAACCUUAGAGACUCACUGUCUAAAGAUAUAGUUACUCUAGAUGGCAUUAACUUGGCCUCUAGCACCACUGUCAGGAAUCUUGGAGUUAUCUUUGAUCAGGAUUUGUCAUUUAACUCCCACAUAAAGCCGACCUCUAGGACCGCCUUCUUUCAUUUACGUAAUAUUAGAAAUAUUGGACACAUACUAUCACAGACAGAUGCAGAAAAACUAAUCCAUGCAUUUGUUACUUCAAGGCUGGAUUACUGCAACUCUUUAUUAUCAGGUUGCCCCAAUAAGUCCAUUAAAACGCUCCAAUUAAUUCAGAACGCUGCAGCACGACUACUGACAGGAACUAGAAAAAGAGAUCACAUCUCUCCUGUACUAGCUUCUCUGCAUUGGCUCCCUGUAAAAUGUAGAAUAGAAUUUAAAAUCCUCCUCCUCACCUAUAAAGCUCUUCAUGGUCAGGCCCCUUCAUAUCUUAAAGAGCUCAUAGUACCCUAUUACCCCACUAGAACACUACGUUCUCUGAAUGCUGGGCUACUUAUGGUUCCUAUAGUCUCUAAAAGUAGAACAGGAGCCAGAGCCUUCAGUUACCAAGCUCCUCUCCUGUGGAACCAGCUUCCAGUUGUGGUUCUGGAGGCAGACACCCUCACCACAUUCAAGAGUAGGCUUAAGACAUUCCUCUUUGAUAAAGCUUAUAGUUAGGGCUGGAUCAGGUGAGUCCUGAACCAUCCCUUAGUUAUGCUCCUAUAGGCCUAGACUAUCGGGGGAUUUCCCAUGGUGCACUGAGCUCCUCCCUUCCUCUCUCUUUCUGCACUCAUUCAUGUUCCAUUAAUGCAUGUUACUAACUUCACUUCUUCCCCGGAGUUCUUGUGCUUUCUCGUCUCGCAGGUUCUUGUCGAUCCUGGUGGAGCCUCCUGCCAUGGUCCUGCUAGAUUGCCAUUGCCAAUACUGUUGUUGCUGUGCACCUGUCUGCCUGUCUGUCUCUCGCUCUCUCUCUCUCUCUCUCUCUCUCUCACCCCAACUGGUCGAGACAGACGACCACCCACCUAGAGCCGGAGGAUCUGUCCUAGGUUUCUGCCUUUUAACAGGCAGUUUUUCCUUGCCCUUGUCGCCAAGUGCUUGCUCAUGGUGGUACUGUUGGGUCUCUGUAAUUAAUGUUAAAGAGUUCGGUCUAGACCUGCUCUAUUUGAAAAGUGUCCUGAGAUAACUUCUGUUAUGAAUUGGCGCUAUACAAAUAAAAUUGAAUUGAAUUGAA